CGCCUGGGGAGUACGGUCGCAAGAUUAAAACUCAAAUGAAUUGACGGGGGCCCGCACAAGCGGUGGAGCAUGUGGUUUAAUUCGAAGCAACGCGAAGAACCUUACCAGGUCUUGACAUCCCCUGACAACCCGAGAGAUCGGGCGUUCCCCCUUCGGGGGGACAGGGUGACAGGUGGUGCAUGGUUGUCGUCAGCUCGUGUCGUGAGAUGUUGGGUUAAGUCCCGUAACGAGCGCAACCCUUGUCCUUAUUUGCCAUCAUUAAGUUGGGCACUCUAGGGAGACUGCCUGGGCUAACCAGGAGGAAGGUG
Molecule: ribosomal RNA, 308 nt
Filed under: Oxyrrhis marina
Lineage: Eukaryota; Dinophyceae; Oxyrrhinales; Oxyrrhinaceae
Description: partial Bacterial small subunit ribosomal RNA
Rfam family: Bacterial small subunit ribosomal RNA
Source: RNAcentral